RNAcentral lists this ribosomal RNA (495 nucleotides) under uncultured bacterium. RNAcentral's name for it is "bacterial SSU rRNA". It matches the Rfam family "Bacterial small subunit ribosomal RNA", at positions 30 to 507 of the family's 1533-position model. The record is from RNAcentral.
AUGAACGCUAGCGGCAGGCUUAAUACAUGCAAGUUGAGGGGCAGCAUGAUAUACGCGAGUAUAUUGAUGGCGACCGGCGGACGGGUGAGUAAUAGGUAGGAGACCUACCUCAUACAGGGGGAUAGCAUAGAGAAAUCUGUGGUAAUACCCCCAUGAGGUUAUAUGAAUAGAGGCAUAUAAUCAAAGCAUAAGCGAUUAUGCGGUAUGAGAGGGGCCUACUGACCAUUAGCUAGUUGGUGAGGUAAGGGCUCACCAAGGCGAAGAUGGUUAGGGGUUUUGAGAGAGAGACCCCCCACAUUGGAACUGAGAGACGGUCCAGACUCCUACGGGAGGCAGCAGUAGGGAAUAUUGGGCAAUGGGCGAAAGCCUGACCCAGCCAUGCCGCGUGAAGGAAGACGGCCUUAUGGGUUGUAAACUUCUUUACUACGCGAAUAGAGGUUAGUACGAGAUACUAAUAGGAAGGUAGUGUAGUAAAAAGCACCGGCUAACUCCGUG